RNAcentral lists this ribosomal RNA (586 nucleotides) under uncultured bacterium. RNAcentral describes it as "partial 16S ribosomal RNA". It matches the Rfam family "Bacterial small subunit ribosomal RNA", at positions 355 to 937 of the family's 1533-position model. The record is from RNAcentral.
UGGGGAAUAUUGGACAAUGGGCGCAAGCCUGAUCCAGCCAUGCCGCGUGAGUGAAGAAGGCCUUCGGGUUGUAAAGCUCUUUUGUCCGGAAAGAAAUCCUGUCGGCUAAUACCCGGCGGGGAUGACGGUACCGGAAGAAUAAGCACCGGCUAACUUCGUGCCAGCAGCCGCGGUAAUACGAAGGGUGCAAGCGUUACUCGGAAUUACUGGGCGUAAAGCGUGCGUAGGUGGUUCGUUAAGUCUGAUGUGAAAGCCCUGGGCUCAACCUGGGAACUGCAUUGGAUACUGGCGAUCUGGAGUGCGGUAGAGGGUGGCGGAAUUCCCGGUGUAGCAGUGAAAUGCGUAGAUAUCGGGAGGAACAUCCGUGGCGAAGGCGGCCACCUGGACCAGCACUGACACUGAGGCACGAAAGCGUGGGGAGCAAACAGGAUUAGAUACCCUGGUAGUCCACGCCCUAAACGAUGCGAACUGGAUGUUGGGUGCAACUUGGCACUCAGUAUCGAAGCUAACGCGUUAAGUUCGCCGCCUGGGAAGUACGGUCGCAAGACUGAAACUCAAAUGAAUUGACGGGGUCAUAGCUGUUUCC